This is a regulatory RNA element of Clostridium celatum DSM 1785, 195 nucleotides long. It matches the Rfam family "SAM riboswitch aptamer (S box leader)". Rfam says of the family: The SAM riboswitch is found upstream of a number of genes which code for proteins involved in methionine or cysteine biosynthesis in Gram-positive bacteria. The SAM riboswitch acts at the level of transcription termination control. Lineage: Bacteria; Bacillati; Bacillota; Clostridia; Eubacteriales; Clostridiaceae. The record is from Rfam.
AUCUUAUCAAGAGUGGUGGAGGGACUGGCCCUGUGAAACCCAGCAACCUAUUAACAGUUAAAAGUUAGUAGUUAAGGUAAAACUUCAAUGGUGUUUUAAAAUUUGGAGAUUUUAAAGAAAUUUUAACCUUAACAAUCAACUAAUAACUAUUAAUGUGGUGCUAAUUCCUGCAGUUUUUUAACUGAGUGAUGAGAG